This 1163-nucleotide ribosomal RNA is filed under the name uncultured Bacteroides sp. RNAcentral describes it as "bacterial SSU rRNA". It matches the Rfam family "Bacterial small subunit ribosomal RNA", at positions 10 to 1169 of the family's 1533-position model. The record is from RNAcentral. Lineage: Bacteria; Pseudomonadati; Bacteroidota; Bacteroidia; Bacteroidales; Bacteroidaceae.
AGUUUGAUCCUGGCUCAGGAUGAACGCUAGCUACAGGCUUAACACAUGCAAGUCGAGGGGCAGCAUCAUCAAAGCUUGCUUUGAUGGAUGGCGACCGGCGCACGGGUGAGUAACACGUAUCCAACCUGCCGACAACACUGGGAUAGCCUUUCGAAAGAAAGAUUAAUACCGGAUGGCAUAGUUUUCCCGCAUGGGAUAAUUAUUAAAGAAUUUCGGUUGUCGAUGGGGAUGCGUUCCAUUAGGCAGUUGGCGGGGUAACGGCCCACCAAACCAACGAUGGAUAGGGGUUCUGAGAGGAAGGUCCCCCACAUUGGAACUGAGACACGGUCCAAAUCCUACGGGAGGCAGCAGUGAGGAAUAUUGGUCAAUGGACGAGAGUCUGAACCAGCCAAGUAGCGUGAAGGAUGACUGCCCUAUGGGUUGUAAACUUCUUUUAUACGGGAAUAAAGUGAGCCACGUGUGGCUUUUUGUAUGUACCGUAUGAAUAAGGAUCGGCUAACUCCGUGCCAGCAGCCGCGGUAAUACGGAGGAUCCGAGCGUUAUCCGGAUUUAUUGGGUUUAAAGGGAGCGUAGGCGGGUUGUUAAGUCAGUUGUGAAAGUUUGCGGCUCAACCGUAAAAUUGCAGUUGAUACUGGGCGACCUUGAGUGCAACAGAGGUAGGCGGAAUUCGUGGUGUAGCGGUGAAAUGCUUAGAUAUCACGAAGAACUCCGAUUGCGAAGGCAGCUUACUGGAUUGUAACUGACGCUGAUGCUCGAAAGUGUGGGUAUCAAACAGGAUUAGAUACCCUGGUAGUCCACACAGUAAACGAUGAAUACUCGCUGUUGGCGAUAUACGGUCAGCGGCCAAGCGAAAGCAUUAAGUAUUCCACCUGGGGAGUACGCCGGCAACGGUGAAACUCAAAGGAAUUGACGGGGGCCCGCACAAGCGGAGGAACAUGUGGUUUAAUUCGAUGAUACGCGAGGAACCUUACCCGGGCUUAAAUUGCAACUGACUGGACCGGAAACGGUUCUUUCUUCGGACAGUUGUGAAGGUGCUGCAUGGUUGUCGUCAGCUCGUGCCGUGAGGUGUCGGCUUAAGUGCCAUAACGAGCGCAACCCUUAUCGAUAGUUACUAGCAGGUCAUGCUGAGGACUCUAUUGAGACUGCCGUCGUAAGAUGUGAGG